This 115-nucleotide non-coding RNA is filed under the name Bacteroidota bacterium. Its description in RNAcentral is "Bacteroidetes bacterium SAM-I sequence". It matches the Rfam family "SAM riboswitch aptamer (S box leader)". From Rfam's summary of the family: The SAM riboswitch is found upstream of a number of genes which code for proteins involved in methionine or cysteine biosynthesis in Gram-positive bacteria. The record is from RNAcentral. Lineage: Bacteria; Pseudomonadati; Bacteroidota.
UUUUUAUUAAGAAGGGCGGAGAGAUUAGGCUCUGAGAAACCCUGGCAACCAAUCCCGAGUACUCGGGAGAACGGUGCCAAAACCUAAUCCCGGGAAAGCCGGGAGAUGAUAAAAA